Molecule: long non-coding RNA, 475 nt
Organism: Formica exsecta
Lineage: Eukaryota; Metazoa; Arthropoda; Insecta; Hymenoptera; Formicidae
Exons: 2
Source: RefSeq, a predicted model, not a curated record
AUGAGUUUCUGUCGUCGGACGCGCUUGUCGGCGAGUAUGUAACAUGGAUACAAAGUGGUGUGUAUGCGAAACGCGUGUUACACAAUACAAACGGCGCGUACAUUUCUUCAGGAGUGUCGGUACGAAGUCAUCGGACUAGCAACUCAUUCUAAUAUGAAAUGAUAAGGGGAGGAAGAAAAUGGAGCAGGGAAAAAUAGAACGUAUAGAAUAAUGCAUACAUUUAUAAUUACACUGUGGCCAAAUAUAUCAAAAAAUAUAGUUUUGAUACUGUUAGUACAAUACAACAACACGAAAAGGUGUUGCAAUUUGUUUCGAUCAAAUUAUGUCCAAGUUGUAUAUAAAUAAAUCAAUAUAAUUAAUGGCAUUUUCUCCUCGCAAUAUAUAAUAAAUUAUAUAACCGACACUAUAAUAGUUAACAGAGAGAAAUUAUUCACAUUAAAUUAUGUAACAAAAAUAUAAUAUUUUUAAUGACAUA